ACUAUGAUCCAAUGCUAUCCUAAUCGCCUGGAUGACGGCGUGUGACUAGCUGUACUUCAUCCUAUGGAUUGCAUUCUUGUACAAUUUACUCAUCUAUUCCAACCAGUGCGCGUCGACCAGCCACGCAAGGCUCGUUAUGGACAAAAUUCUCAUGAUAACACCUCUUUCACAUCUCCUACACGUACCGCUAAUGCGGCUGUGUCAUAGUAGACAUUCUCUUUGCCCAUAACUUGUUACAUUAUUCAGCGUCCCUGGGGGAAACAGCGUCCCACCAACAUAUUUUGGAGGCGUCCUCACGAGAUGCCACGCGGCUUAACAUACGAAUUUAUCCAUCUCUGUGCGCGCGGCGACGCAAAUUAUGGGUCCGAAAUCGUUAUAUUCCUUUCUUCACUGCAGUUGUGACAGGCAGCACGAAGCACGAGUACGCAGUAUGAAGUUUUUUUUUUUUUUUUUUUUCCCCGGGGAAAAUACAUUCAUUAAGGGGGGGAAAAAAAUUUUCCCCCGGGGGCUCCCUGUACUGCGAGUGAAGCGGGAAAAGCUCAAAUUUAAAAUCUGGCAGCCUCUGGCUGUCCGAGUUGUAAUCUAGAGAAGUAAUGCCCGUGCUGGACCGUGUAUAAGUCUCCUGGGAUGGGGCGUCAUAGAGGGUGAGAAUCCCGUCUCUGACACGGACUGCCAGUGCAUUGUGGUAUGCUCUCAAAGAGUCGAGUUGUUUGGGAAUGCAGCUCAAAAUGGGUGGUAAAUUCCAUCUAAAGCUAAAUAUAGGCGAGAGACCGAUAGCGAACAAGUACCGUGAGGGAAAGAUGAAAAGAACUUUGGAAAGAGAGUUAAACAGUACGUGAAAUUGCUGAAAGGGAAACGCUUGAAGUCAGUCACGUUGGCCAGGGAUCAGCCUUGCUUUUGCAUGGUGUACUUUCUGGUUGACGGGUCAGCAUCAAUUUUGACUGCUGGAAAAGGGCCUGGGGAAUGUGGCAGCUUAGGCUGUGUUAUAGCCCCUGGUCGCAUGCAGUGGUUGGGAUUGAGGAACUCAGCACGCCGCAAGGCCGGGUUUCGACCACGUUCGUGCUUAGGAUGCUGGCAUAAUGGCUUUAAGCGACCCGUCUUGAAACACGGACCAAGGAGUCUAACAUGCCUGCGAGUAUUUGGGUGGAAAACCCGAGUGCGCAAUGAAAGUGAAAGUUGAGAUCCCUGUCGUGGGGAGCAUCGUCGCCCGGACCAGAACUUUUGGGACGGAUCCGCGGUGGAGCAUGUAUGUUGGGACCCGAAAGAUGGUGAACUAUGCCUGAAUAGGGUGAAGCCAGAGGAAACUCUGGUGGAGGCUCGUAGCGAUUCUGACGUGCAAAUCGAUCGUCAAAUUUGGGUCAUAGGGCGAAAGACUAAUCGAACAUUCAUGCCC
RNAcentral lists this ribosomal RNA (1393 nucleotides) under Agaricus arabiensis. RNAcentral describes it as "Agaricus sp. SH-2022a partial large subunit ribosomal RNA". The stretch from base 433 to 1393 matches the Rfam family "Eukaryotic large subunit ribosomal RNA", at positions 1 to 951 of the family's 3401-position model. The record is from RNAcentral. Lineage: Eukaryota; Fungi; Basidiomycota; Agaricomycetes; Agaricales; Agaricaceae.